This 1111-nucleotide long non-coding RNA is filed under the name Callithrix jacchus (white-tufted-ear marmoset). RNAcentral describes it as "lncRNA (ENSCJAG00000086905.1)". The record is from RNAcentral. Lineage: Eukaryota; Metazoa; Chordata; Mammalia; Primates; Cebidae.
AGCAUCUGUCACUUGGCUGUGGGCCACAGAGUAAUGCUCCCCACCGUGGUGUUCAUGGGGUCUCCUGAACGGUUUGAAUCACUAGACAUUAGAAACAAAUCCCAAUGUCAGGCCUUUUUCUACCUGAGCAGGGUGGUGAAGGGCCUCUCCAUCUGUACCACCCACCUCCUGAGUGUUGCAUGCCAACACCAUCAGCCCUAGCACCUCCUGAACAGUGAAGUUUAAACGUGCUCCACCAGUUACACCUUCCAUUCCUUCUAUUUUUGGCUUCUCUGUUCUUGAUGGAGUGGCCUGAUCUUCCAUGCUGUGGCUUCUUCCAAUGGUAUCAAGCCAAAUCUUCUGAUUCUUAGUAAAUCCUACUUGCUUUUCCCUUUAAGUUAGGUUGUCAGGAGACUAUUUUUCAUAGUGCUGCUAUUGAGAAACAUCAACUUUGUAGAAUGCACGCCCCUCUUAAGUGCACACAUGGCAAUUCUCUUGUUCAGGCCUCAGAGGUGAUCUCCGCACCUGCACAGCACCAGCUGCUCCCCAAGAUCCUCCACAGAGAAAAGGGACACCUAGAUCAUCCUGCUGCUGCUGUGCAGUUGCUGAGGUCACCUCUGAGGCCUGAACAAGAGAAUCACCAUGUGUGCACUUAAGAGUGGCGUGCAUUCUACAGAGGUGACAUUUCUCAGUAGCAGCACCAGGAAAAAUAGUCUCCUGACAACAUAGCUCAAAGGAAAAAGCAGGCAGAAUUUACUAAGAAUCAGCAGAUUUGGUUUGAUAACAUUGGAAGAAACCACAGUGUGGAAGAUCAGGCCACUCCAUCAAGAACAGAUUGAUAUUCAGGCCACUACAUAAAGAAUGAUUGCUUGAUAUUCUCAUCUAUGUUUACAGGUUGUCUUUUCUAAAUUUUAUUUUAAUUUUAGAUUCAGAGGGUAUAUGUGCAGGUUUAUUACCGGAGGAUGUUGUGUGGUGCCAAGAUUUGGGCUUCUGAUGACCCUGUCACUCAAGUAGUGAACAUAUCACCUGUGAGGUAGUUUUUCAGCCCAUGCCUCCCUCCCUCCCUCUCCCUUUUAGGAAUCCCCUGUGUUUAUUGUUCCCCUCUCCAUGUCCAUGUGUACCCAAAGUUGAG